UGGAAAUGUGAAGAACAUUUAUCUGAUUCACUUCAUGGAUUGAAUGACUUCUCUGAGGUGCAGGCCCAGGUAGAAAUAAGUUGGCCUCGUCUUCCUCCUAGUUUUCUUUACAAUGGGGAGUGCCCUAAAAUUGGUGCUGCUCCCAACAACUUCCCGUGGGCCCACCAUCCUCCCUGUAGGCGCUCCAACCUGGGAGCGUGGCUCUUGUCAGGUAAAUUGUGCCAUGUUUUGUUUCUUUUUCUCGAAAGGUCAGCCAGUGGUGUGAGGCGGGCAUCUACCUCUUGGCAUCCCAAGCUGUGGACAAGUGCCAGUCUCGAGAGGGAAUCGAUGUGGCCUUGAAUGACAUCAAGACAUUUCUAGGCACUGCCAAGGAGUACCAGUUGCUCAGCCCCAAGGAGUUUUACAACCAGUUUGAGCUGAUACUCACCUUUGAUGUCAAGGUCAAAACCCAGAGAGUCUUGCAGAAGCUCGCUGACAUGCAGGAAAUCUUUCAUAAGAGACAAGUGAGCCUGAUGAAACUGGCGGCCAAACAGACCCGCCCAGUGCAACCCGUGGCCCCCCAUCCUGAGUCCUCCCCAAAAUGGGUGUCACCAAAACCCAGCCAGCCCUCCACCUCGGCCCCUCCUCAGAGAUCAGCGGAGAAACCUCACAGGGAGACAGAUUUGACAGCCCCAGAAAAGGAAGACGAUGACGAGACGAAACCUGAAGUCAAGGUAAAAUCACCUCGUAGAGAUAGAAACUUCUGAGAGGAGAGGGCACUGCUGUAAUUACCAGGAAAUCAGCCAGCUCUGCUCCCCUACCCUGCCCUGAAGAUGCGUCCACAGACCAGAGCUUUCAAGACCUGCAGAAGGUUCUUUUCCUCUUUUUCUCUCUCUUUCAUUGCAACUAGAAAUGAAUACCAUUUGCUUGUGUACGUAACUGCUGGUAGAUACUGUUUUAUUGGGAAGAAGUCAUUUUAUUCAUUCCUAUAAUCUGACUUACAAUUAAAGUUGGAAAACAGUGUGUAGAAAAAG
Molecule: long non-coding RNA, 1013 nt
Filed under: Cavia porcellus (domestic guinea pig)
Lineage: Eukaryota; Metazoa; Chordata; Mammalia; Rodentia; Caviidae
Description: lncRNA (ENSCPOG00000035360.1)
Source: RNAcentral